CGUGGCCCCAACCCCGCCUCCCUCCCCACCCCGCAAUGGCAGAAGAAACUCAACAGAGCAAAUUGGCCGCAGCAAAGAAAAAGGCAAAGGAGGACAUCUGGACAGUGAGGAGGAGGCACCUCGGCCCAUGCCAAGCAACCCAGAGGACCUGGAGAGCUGGGAGGCCACGGUGAAGUGGCCUUAUGGACCUCCUGGAGGAGAAGGUGGACCUGAGGGAGCGAGCGGAGAAACUAGAACUUCGAUUCAUCCAGUACUGGAAAGACAGAAGUCAUCAGUUAGUGGGAGGCCAGGGCACGGCAGGGGGAGCUGCAGGGCCGUCGGAGGGACCUCAGCGUCUGAGCCCUGUCCUCCUGCAGGAAAGUUCAUCACCCUAGAACACAGCCAGGGGGCAGUGCCAAAGAUGCGGCAACUGGAGGAGGACAUCAUCAGGCUGGCCCAGGACAUGGAGGAGAUGAAGGUAGGGUGUGCAACAUCUCUGCAGGGGUGGGGGUGGGCGUGAGGGUGGGCGCCGGUAGAUGCAUAACAGCUGAGCACCCCUCCCUCCAGGUGAAGCUGCUGGAGCUGCUGGAGAAGAUGUUGCGGCUUGUGGUGACUACAACGAGGGACACAGCAAAUUCCCGGCCACUGCCCUGAAGCUUGCUGAUGAGCCUGGUCCAGGAGCCCCAGCCCCCCAGGAGCUUGUGGGUGCUGAUAAGCAUGGUGAUCUUUGUGAGGUGAGCCUCACUGACAGCGUGGAGCA
This 739-nucleotide long non-coding RNA is filed under the name Homo sapiens (human). Its description in RNAcentral is "non-protein coding lnc-MEF2A-4:2". The stretch from base 275 to 356 matches the Rfam family "mir-1233 microRNA precursor family". The record is from RNAcentral. Lineage: Eukaryota; Metazoa; Chordata; Mammalia; Primates; Hominidae.